Molecule: unclassified non-coding RNA, 385 nt
Filed under: uncultured fungus
Lineage: Eukaryota; Fungi
Description: partial contains small subunit ribosomal RNA, internal transcribed spacer 1, and 5.8S ribosomal RNA
Rfam family: Eukaryotic small subunit ribosomal RNA (bases 1-73)
Source: RNAcentral
UCAAACUUGGUCAUUUAGAGGAAGUAAAAGUCGUAACAAGGUUUCCGUAGGUGAACCUGCGGAAGGAUCAUUCAUAGUACUCUUUUAUAGGUAUUAUAGGUUCCAAUGUAAGUUUUGAAAACAAAAUGGUAAUUUGCCGAGUAAGAAAGGGAAUGGGCCCUGAGAAUUUGCGAAAGGAGCUCUAUUCCUAAGCAAAUGAAAGGAGGGGUCCUUUCUUCAGUACUCUCGGCGCAAUAAGAAUAUUGCUCUUUUUAGAGGCAGUGUCCAAGUGUGUAUAAAAAUCUACUUUUUAAAUGUUAAUGAAAAUUUUAUACAGUUUUACUGUAACUUUUGUACAACUUGUAACAAUGGAUCUCUUGGUUCAUGCAUCGAUGAAGAACGCAGC